This 3446-nucleotide long non-coding RNA is filed under the name Equus asinus (donkey). RNAcentral describes it as "lncRNA (ENSEASG00005031176.1)". Lineage: Eukaryota; Metazoa; Chordata; Mammalia; Perissodactyla; Equidae. The record is from RNAcentral.
AAUUAUGAUUUUAUGAAGGACCUUCUCGUAAAACUGCGCUUUGCCAAUAGCACAGUGAAUGUAUGCCAAAUAUAAAUCUAUUCCAAAAUCCAUUUGGAAAUCUUGAGCUCAGCUGUGGUUCUAUAAGAAAUGUUUGCAGUCCAUAGGGCCUUUUUUUCCCUCUUUCCAAUUUGUGAUAAAUUCAUGAUGUUUACAGCACAGAUAAUACUUUGUGCCAUAAUCCUAACUUAGCUGAAAGAAAAAUGUUAUCUGUUCAAUAAAGAUUUAUUUGCAUGUAUGUUAAUAAACCAGCGUGAGGGAAAUUGCACUUGGCCAAUAUCAUAAAAGUUGCACACUGCAUUAUUUGGGGAGGAAGAGAAGGCUAGUCAAGAAAUAUGAUUAAAAGAAAGGUGAUGACAAAGGACUUUGAAAAAAUUUAACAUACUGUAUUCAGAGAUAAUAUUGAGUUCAUUCAGGUAGUUCAGGUGAUAAUAAAGCACUCCUUAUUUAUGAAACCAGAACUUUAGGGUGUGAAUAACUGAAGAGAUAUAAAAUCAUAUGACUCAAUGGGUGCACCACUGGAAAAUUAUCAGUAAGACAUUUAAUUAAGGUCUCUACCAUGAUUGAAUUUCCUUCUUAGCUCAGAAUUGGAUUUUGGAAUCUUGCCCUUAUUUGGGUGAAUACAGACAGCAACAAAAUUGGUAGAUUUUCUAAUCCUAAAAGAUUUCACCUGAUAGAACCUUAGGAAUAGCCACUCUCCCAUACCAGGUGCCCCCAGUGUGCACACAUGCACUCUUAAAGCUGUCCUUGUGUUCUAAUUUAGCAGUCAUCUCUGGCAGACCUGGAAAAACAAGCUGCACUUAAUAGCAAAAUGAAACCAAAGGCAUAAUAACUCAUCAGUUUUCCAUCAAAAUUAUAAUUUCACACUCUACCUACAACUUUGAAGACGUUUUUUCCUAUGUGGAAAAUUCUCUAAAAAAUAUCCACUCGUCUCACAGUAAACGUGGCUAUGUAAUUACACUGAUAAAACAUCUCUCCUACAACAACUGUGGCAAAACUGUGAAAAUCAUGGUGAGAAAGCAGAUGGGCUUAAAAGCAUUAACCUGAAAACAGCAUUCUUUAACGGCUUUUGUAACACUGGUGCCUGUCAGUCUCCCCUAACAGCCUGUCAGUCCCGCUGUUCUUUCAUAUGCCAGUGCCUGUGCCUUUGUAUGGUUUCAUAUCUCUUUAGUGAUGGUCAACCCUACUGGUAGUAAGUAACCAUUUAGGGGAAUAAUAUAUAUACUGCUUGGUGUUCUAGCUAAAGGUUUACCAGUAUUCUUAGUGAUAUGCUGAAGUGGCAGCAAUUAACUUGGCAGUUGUCAGUUGAGAAUGAAAGUAGCAUGUAUGAAAACAAUUUGAUGCUUUAUUAAAACCAUGUAGAUGACUUUAAAACUAUUGCAUGACCAUCCGUCCAGGUUACUGAGCUGUUAUCAUACAGUAGAUGCAUGGUUCCAGUCCUUUGGUGAUAUAUCUAGUAAAUCAUUGUUUUCACCUGCCAGGAAAAUGAGAAACCAGUCUGUUUGAAAGGUGUAGAGGGUGGGAUAUGAGACAUCAGAGACUGAUUUUAAGGAAGUUUUGUUAUGUGUUCAUUUCUGGUUGUGCACAAGUUUCAUACGCCAACAUAGGCUAUAUUCAGUUUUUAAAAUAAGCAAACUUAUUUGACAGUGAUAAAUUUGGUAUAUUUAACUGUGUCCCAUAUAUAGACUACUACUUGCCUGUGACCAGUUUGAAUAAGAAUUCAGUCACCUUUCAAGGUGCCUUUUCAGCAGGAUCUCGCGGUCAGCCUGCUGUGACAGGCCAUCGGCGUUUCAGUGGUAGGACACGCAGCGGCUGGCGCCCGCCUGCCAAGGCGCCUGUGCUCUUUGGAUCAGUUGUUGUACAUCUUGUUUCGAGUAAAAAGUUGUUUUCUUCAAAUACGACUAGUUUGAUGUAUCUGGUAACACAUAGACCUGACUCUACAUUUUACGUCAUUUCGCUGUUUUGGAAACUGGGUUUUUAGAAAGCACAUCUGCCGUUUUGUUAAAGUACAUUGCCCCUUAAAUCUUGGAGUAGGUCUUAAAUGUUUAAAGUGGUAAUAGAGGAGCCAGAAACUUUCUGAACAUUGUAAAAUGUUUCGAAUUGAUAGUGACCUUGUUUGGGAGAGUGUGGAGGCAGGGGGUUUUAAAGAAACAAAAGAAAUGCAUUGUUAAAAAAAAAAAAAAGGGUAGUUUUAGAGCAGAUUUAAUGAUGGUGGGGAAAGUGUUGUUAAUUUGUUUGUUUAUUUCCCUAAAAGAAAUGGGAAGUGUGACGAGCAGUUUAAUAAUUUUUAAGGAGCUGGUCUCAAUUUAGUACUUUUUAAUUAUUAAAAGAAAUAAAUGUUUCCUUAUAUCCUGUCAUUGCUUUUCCCAGUUAUCUAGGGUUCAUAUCCAACUUUCUGUGGAAACUCAAUUUUAUAUCGUAUUUUGAAAGGUAAUUGUAAUGUCUUUGACAGUAUAUAAACAAAAGCAAGAAUAUAAGGCAUAAAAAAUGAUGUAUCCUGGAAUGUGACGAUGUCCCUUUAUAGUUAAAGUUGAUUUAUUUUAAUAUUGUAAUUAUUGUUCAGACUUUGAAUGAGUCCAUGUUACAGUGUGUCUGUAUAUCUGUAGAGAAAGAAAAAUGACAAUUGAAAUAUUACUUUAAAAAAUCAGAAUAAAUUGGGCACUGUCUGUGUUGCACCACUACUGUAUCUGUUUGAAAGAAUUAACAGUAUUUUCUUAUUGUAAAAGUUAAUUCUGAUGACGUUUUCACAUUCACCAGACAUGCAUUUUUUUUUCUGUAUUAUUUGCAUCCCCAAAUAUUUAAUACGAGUAGAUUUUGCAUGGCUUGGGCAUUCAGAGAUUAAUAGAAUGAUGACUGAAUUUUAGUUUCUAAAGCCAUGAAAUAUUGCUUUGAGACUGAACAAUUCUGAUUCUUAUUUAUAAUGACACCCAAUGUCCAUGUUUCUCUACUGUAAAAGAAUUGAUCAGUUUCUUCAUUAAAACAGCAAGAACUUAUUAAAUCUUGUAAAUACCAGUCUCUUUCAGAUUUCUGUGUAUGCUGUGAAUCAAAUUAUUUUGAGGUGAAAUUGUACAAAGCAUUUUAAAUUAGGCUAUGCAUGCAUCGUACCUCCAAACAGUACAUAUUCGGAAAGUCAGAUUCCUGCAAAAUAAAUUAAUAAACUAAAAGCAAACACUACAUUCUGCAUCUUUUCUGUGUAGUUAGAGAUGAUUUAUAGUAUCAAACCAGCCCUAGUUCCAACAUUCAUAUUUCUGGACUGAAAUAUGCUGUCUCAGAAACCUAAUCUUUCUGCUCCUCUCUUAGAACGUGUAGUAAUGUUAGAUUUGGGAUAUUUAGUGUAUGUUAAUUCAAAAAUUGGGCAAAAGUAUAUUUAAACAAAUUUUAUAUAAAAGGUGGAAUAUGUUAGGAAC